Molecule: ribosomal RNA, 278 nt
Filed under: uncultured Rikenellaceae bacterium
Lineage: Bacteria; Pseudomonadati; Bacteroidota; Bacteroidia; Bacteroidales; Rikenellaceae
Description: partial 16S ribosomal RNA
Rfam family: Bacterial small subunit ribosomal RNA
Source: RNAcentral
GCAGCCGCGGUAAUACGGGGGAUGCAAGCGUUAUCCGGAUUUAUUGGGUUUAAAGGGUGCGUAGGCGGUCUGGUAAGUCAGCGGUGAAAUUUAGGGGCUCAACCUCUACCGUGCCGUUGAUACUGCUGGGCUAGAAUGCGGAUGCCGUGGGAGGAAUGUGUGGUGUAGCGGUGAAAUGCAUAGAUAUCACACAGAACACCGAUUGCGAAGGCAUCUCACGAAUCCGCAAUUGACGCUGAGGCACGAAAGCGUGGGGAUCAAACAGGAUUAGAUACCCC